Molecule: ribosomal RNA, 113 nt
Filed under: Acanthosepion pharaonis
Lineage: Eukaryota; Metazoa; Mollusca; Cephalopoda; Sepiida; Sepiidae
Source: RNAcentral
UACGACCACAUAACGUUGAAAUACCGGUUCUCGCACGAUCACCGAAGUUAAGCAACGUCGAGACUGGUCAGUACCUAGAUGGGUGACCACUUGCGAAUACCAGGUGCUGUAAG